RNAcentral lists this ribosomal RNA (253 nucleotides) under uncultured bacterium. RNAcentral describes it as "partial 16S ribosomal RNA". It matches the Rfam family "Bacterial small subunit ribosomal RNA", at positions 524 to 776 of the family's 1533-position model. The record is from RNAcentral.
UACGUAGGGUGCAAGCGUUAAUCGGAAUUACUGGGCGUAAAGCGUGCGCAGGCGGUUCUAUAAGCCAGAUGUGAAAUCCCCGGGCUCAACCUGGGAACUGCAUUUGUGACUGUAGAGCUGGAGUACGGUAGAGGGGGAUGGAAUUCCGCGUGUAGCAGUGAAAUGCGUAGAUAUGCGGAGGAACACCGAUGGCGAAGGCAAUCCCCUGGACCUGUACUGACGCUCAUGCACGAAAGCGUGGGGAGCAAACGGG